AGCUUUGCGCAGUGGCAGUAUUGUAGCCAAUGAGGUUUAUCCAAGGCGCGAUUAUUGCUAAUUGGAAGGCAUAUGCUAUUUUUAAUUCC
RNAcentral lists this small nuclear RNA (89 nucleotides) under Canis lupus dingo (dingo). Its description in RNAcentral is "U4 spliceosomal RNA (ENSCAFG00020015835.1)". The stretch from base 1 to 68 matches the Rfam family "U4 spliceosomal RNA". Rfam says of the family: U4 small nuclear RNA (U4 snRNA) is a component of the major U2-dependent spliceosome. The record is from RNAcentral. Lineage: Eukaryota; Metazoa; Chordata; Mammalia; Carnivora; Canidae.